RNAcentral lists this ribosomal RNA (445 nucleotides) under uncultured bacterium. Its description in RNAcentral is "bacterial SSU rRNA". It matches the Rfam family "Bacterial small subunit ribosomal RNA", at positions 354 to 796 of the family's 1533-position model. The record is from RNAcentral.
GUAAGGAAUAUUGGUCAAUGGACGCAAGUCUGAACCAGCCAUGCCGCGUGGAGGAUGAAGGUCCUCUGGAUUGUAAACUUCUUUUAUCUGGGAAGAAAUCCACCUUUUCUAAGGUGGUUGACGGUACCAGUUGAAUAAGCACCGGCUAACUCCGUGCCAGCAGCCGCGGUAAUACGGAGGGUGCAAGCGUUAUCCGGAUUCACUGGGUUUAAAGGGUGCGUAGGUGGAUUGGUAAGUCCGUGGUGAAAUCCCCGAGCUUAACUUGGGAACUGCCAUGGAUACUAUCAGUCUUGAAUACCGUGGAGGUCAGUGGAAUAUGUCAUGUAGCGGUGAAAUGCUUAGAUAUGACAUAGAACACCCAUUGCGAAGGCAGCUGACUACGCGGAGAUUGACGCUGAGGCACGAAAGCGUGGGGAUCAAACAGGAUUAGAAACCCCAGUAGUCC